UUGAUUUGGUAAUGUGAAUGUUCUCUUUUCAGUUUUGAGUUUUUAUUUAUUAGUUUUGGAAUUGGGAUUAGUUUUGUUGCAUUUUAUUUACACAAUCUUAUUUUUCAGUAGAAACGUAAAAUAUGGAUCUUGUGCCUAUUUCUUUGUGGGAUUGGUGAUGUACUGAUGUUUAUGAGAAAAGUGAAUGCUUUAAAAUGAAGCUUUGCUUUAUAGGUUUAUUCAUUUGAUUUUUUUUUUUUAAAAAAAUAUUAGAGAAUCCUUGAAGCUAUGUUGCAUUUAUGACAUUGUUUGCUUACAUUUUUCGAAUGAAUUCUCUGUUUUACAAUGUUGUUGAAGUUAACUUAUUCUCUCUGCUUUUUUUGUGUAUCAGCUUUGUUCUUUUGAUAACCAAGAUCCCCCAAGUCUGCUCAACUAAAUUUGAGAUCUUUCUAUAGGUAGUUGUCUCUUUUUGGUGUUAUUUGAUGGACGAAGAUGCUGCUGUGAUAACAUUUGGAACGCCUGAAAUGGUGAAUAAGGAAGAAGACGGUUGUAGCCCGAGAGGAGACUCUACAGGGAAGGCAAUGGCCUCAAAGCCUAAAGAGAAAAAGAUUCUGAGGUUGACUAAGUUUGAGUUUCUCUUCGAAUUGUCUCUUUGAUCUGUAUCGUUAAAGAAACAGAGGAGGACGAAGAUGACGUCGGGGACGAGAAUGCCGGCAUGGAGGGAGAGAGAAAACAACAGGAGGAGAGGGAGACGACGGAGAGCAAUGGCAGCUAACUACGAGCUUCCUAUGCAUUGCGAUAACAACGAAGUUCUUAAAGCACUCUGCAUUCUGCAACGAAGCUGAUUGGAUCGUCGAGCUUGAUGGCACCACUUACAUCAAGGAGGUUUUCAACUAUGUGACAAGUUCCCUUAAUUGAUAAAUAAAGAUGAAGAUCGAACAAGAAGGAGAAGAGAAGUGUAUUCGGGAAUCGGAGAAGGAGAAGAGAAGCUGAUGAUUUGUUCAAUGUGUUAAUAAAGAUCUCGACUUUGUUAACUCGAUCCUUUAUCAUCUUAAUUGCUAUUCCGUCUGGUGUUAUUGACGCGAUUGGAUCAUCUGAUAACGAUAACGUUGUUUCUAUCCUCGGCUCUUUCGAUAGUCGUCUCUCUGCUCUUGAAAAGGCUAUGCGUCCCACUCAGAUUAGAACGCAUGCUAUAAGGAAAGCUCAUGAGAAUAUUGAUAGGACUCUUAAGGCUGCUGAGGUUAUUUUGUCUCAGUUCGAUCUCCUUCGUCAAGUUUGUUGCUUCCCCCCAUUUAUGUGAGAUUUCAAUGAUUUGAUUGUAUUCAAAUCGAUCGUUAUAAAUAGAUAGUUCUCGAGCAGAGGUUGGAUCGGUAUGUUAUUCACCAAGUUUAUUAGUCUCACUCCCAACAGUUUUUUUUAGCAUAUGUUAGAUUUACUAUUUUUAGCCAACCUUGGUCCAAUUCUUGUCAAUGCUAGGCAGGAUAGGAGACUUGGCACAAUAUGUUUCAUUCUACUGCACUCUUUUCAGCUAUCAUUUGGUGGGAUUACUGGUCUUUAGA
Molecule: non-coding RNA, 1538 nt
Organism: Camelina sativa (false flax)
Lineage: Eukaryota; Viridiplantae; Streptophyta; Magnoliopsida; Brassicales; Brassicaceae
Source: RefSeq, a predicted model, not a curated record